This 254-nucleotide ribosomal RNA is filed under the name uncultured bacterium. RNAcentral describes it as "partial 16S ribosomal RNA". It matches the Rfam family "Bacterial small subunit ribosomal RNA", at positions 524 to 776 of the family's 1533-position model. The record is from RNAcentral.
UACGGGGGGAGCAAGCGUUGUUCGGAUUUACUGGGCGUAAAGGGCGGGUAGGCGGCCACCGCAAGUCAGUUGUGAAAUCUCUGGACUUAACCCAGAAAGGUCAACUGAUACUGCGGGGCUAGAGUGCAGAAGGGGCAACUGGAAUUCUCGGUGUAGCGGUGAAAUGCGUAGAUAUUGGGAGGAACACCGGUGGCGAAGGCGGCUACCUGGACCGGUACUGACGCUGAGGCGCGAAAGCUAGGGUAGCAAACAGG